RNAcentral lists this signal recognition particle RNA (282 nucleotides) under Microcebus murinus (gray mouse lemur). RNAcentral's name for it is "Metazoan signal recognition particle RNA (ENSMICG00000035414.2)". It matches the Rfam family "Metazoan signal recognition particle RNA". From Rfam's summary of the family: The signal recognition particle (SRP) is a universally conserved ribonucleoprotein. The record is from RNAcentral. Lineage: Eukaryota; Metazoa; Chordata; Mammalia; Primates; Cheirogaleidae.
GCCAGGCACAGUGGCACUUGCCUGUAAUCCCAGCUACUCAAGAGGCUGAGGCGGGAGGAGUUCUGGGCUGUAGUAUGCUAUGGCAAUCAGGUGUCCAUACUAAGUCUGGCAUCAGUAUGGUGACCUCCAGGCAGUGGGGUACCACCAGGUUGCUGCCUGAGUAGGGUGAACUGGCCCAGGUCAGUGAUGGAGCAGGUGAAAAUGGUGAUGAUCAGUUGUGGACUUGUGUCUGUGAAUAGCCACUGCACUCCAGUCUUGGGAACAUAGCAAGACCUGGUCUCU